Molecule: ribosomal RNA, 460 nt
Filed under: uncultured bacterium
Lineage: Bacteria
Description: partial 16S ribosomal RNA
Rfam family: Bacterial small subunit ribosomal RNA
Source: RNAcentral
ACUACGGGAGGCAGCAGUGAGGAAUAUUGGUCAAUGGGCGUAAGCCUGAACCAGCCAAGUCGCGUGAGGGAUGAAGGUUCUAUGGAUCGUAAACCUCUUUUAUAAGGGCAUAAAGUGUGGGACGUGUCCUAUUUUUGAUGUACCUUAUGACUAAGGAGCGGCUAACUCCGUGACAGCAGCCGCGGUAAUGCGGAGGAUCCGAGCGUUGUCCGGAUUUAUUGGGUUUAAAGGGUGCGUAGGGGGCCUGUUAAGGCAGCGGUGAAAGGCAGUGGCUUAACGAUAGAAUUGCCGAUGAAACUGGGGGGUUUGAGUGUGUUGGAGGCCGGCGGAAGGCGUGGUGUAGCGGUGAAAUGCUUAGAUAUCAGGCAGAACCCCGAUGGCGAAGGCAGCCUGCUAAGCCAUGACUGACGCUGAUGCACGAAAGCGUGGGGAUCAAACAGGAUUAGAUACCCUAGUAGUC